RNAcentral lists this ribosomal RNA (422 nucleotides) under uncultured bacterium. Its description in RNAcentral is "bacterial SSU rRNA". It matches the Rfam family "Bacterial small subunit ribosomal RNA", at positions 8 to 442 of the family's 1533-position model. The record is from RNAcentral.
AGAGUUUGAUCCUGGCUCAGAAUCAACGCUGGCGGCGUGCCUAACACAUGCAAGUCGAACGAGAAAGUGGAGCAAUCCAUGAGUAAAGUGGCGCACGGGUGAGUAACACGUGACUAACCUACCCUGGAGUGGGGGAUAACUGAGGGAAACCUUAGCUAAUACCGCAUAAUACCUACGGGUCAAAGGAGCAAUUCGCUUUGGGAGGGGGUCGCGGCCGAUUAGUUAGUUGGCGGGGUAAUGGCCCACCAAGACAGUGAUCGGUAUCCGGCCUGAGAGGGCGCACGGACACACUGGAACUGAAACACGGUCCAGACUCCUACGGGAGGCAGCGAGUGGGGAAUUUUGCGCAAUGGGGGAAACCCUGACGCAGCAACGCCGCGUGGAGGAUGAAAGUCCUUCGGGACGUAAACUCCUUCGAUCGG